ACGCCACCUCCUCACGCUUGGCUCCGGUGCGGUGACUUAUCCCCGAGGGGUUCUUGCUAUUUAUCCAGCUUCACAGGGCUGCACUUCCCAGAGGGCGCUGCUCGGCAGACACUCCGCGGUACGGGGCUCGGGCGGCCACCGGGCUCCCCCGCAGCUGCACCGCGCUCCGUGCAAGCGCUGCACGCGGCGGGAGCAGGCGCCUGGGACGUGCCAGGCCCCGCAGCGCGCUCCGGCAGCGCUCGCCCCGAACUUCCCGCUCAAGGGAGGCUGAGCUCCUCCGCCGUGCGAGGACACGCAGCAGCGGGCUCCGGGAGCCCCCGAAGGGACGUGGUGGGAGAGGGGCGCUACGGCCGCGCGGACCGAGCCGCACCGGGCGGGUUGAAGGUAGCGCAGCGCCAACGGGAGCCGUCGGGGAACACCCCGGAACGCGACUCCUCCCUCCCAGACCCAGCGGGGAUUCUGUUCGAGACGGCGAGAUUCCAGGGCAGGGCCGGGCAGCGGCGGCCCCGCAGCACCCUGCGCACCGGCUGCGCAGGGCCUUCCGCAGCGCGGAGCAGAGAGGCCCGGCCGGGGGCGGCUCCCAGCGGGCGGGGCGGGGGCGGGAGCUCGGCGGCGCGGGGCCGUUCCCUCCGCAGCGCUGCGGCCCGCCCCGCGCUGCGUUCCCGCCGCACGGCGGGCAGGCGGCUGGCGGCGGUCGCUGUGGCGCGGGGCCGCACCCCGGAUGAGGUCGGUUGUGGAGCGGGACCAGGUGAGCACCCGCGCGGGGCAUGGCCGGAGGUCGGCGGCUCCAGGUGCGUUUGGCCGCGGAGAGCGACGGUCGGGGCGGAGCAGAGCAGAGCCGCCUCGCCGGGCCGCGGAGAAGCGGCUUCGACUCUCCCCUCCCAGCCUCCCUCGGUGCGCUGGGCGUGGGGGGCUAGCGCUUCUCGCAGCCGCUGUCUCUGGGAACGGGGCCGAGCUCGUGGAGCGCCGCGUUCCCCGGCCGAAGUGGAGCGAAGCGGGGCGCGGGGAAGUAGCAGCCCGGCCGUGCAGCGGGACCAGCCCAGCCCAGGGAUCCGCCCGGCGCUGGGGCUUGCGGUAACUGCGUUCAACCGCAGGGCUGUGAUUUCAGGGAGACGAUAUACAUUAGAGGGAGAAUGUGCAGAGAGCCAGGAACAACUUGGACUGGGUCCUCGCAUAUUUCUGUGGUUAUUUUUGGAGUAUCGUCAUAUGGCAGGAGGUGGGCUCUGGAGGUAUCCUCGAACUCAGCAUUUUCUCCACAGACUGGUUACCCGGGAGAUCGUAUUAGACUACGCAGGUCCCCUCUUCUCUAUCAGCGCUUUCCGUAUAAAACACUCUUCCUACUGGUGCUUCUGCAGCAGUAUUGUUCUGCUCCGUGCCCAGCCAUGCGUUGCAGUGGGGACCCUUCUGCGGACAAACAAUGGUCGGGGUACGUGUGGUUGA
Molecule: long non-coding RNA, 1440 nt
Filed under: Numida meleagris (helmeted guineafowl)
Lineage: Eukaryota; Metazoa; Chordata; Aves; Galliformes; Numididae
Description: lncRNA (ENSNMEG00000014134.1)
Source: RNAcentral